CCUACGGGUGGCAGCAGUCGAGAAUCAUUCACAAUGGGGGAAACCCUGAUGGUGCAACGCCGCGUGGGGGAAUGAAGGUCUUCGGAUUUUAAACCCCUGUCAUGUGGGAGCAAAUUAAAAAGAUAGUACCACAAGAGGAAGAGACGGCUAACUCUGUGCCAGCAGCCGCGGUAAUACAGAGGUCUCAAGCGUUGUUCGGAAUCACUGGGCGUAAAGCGUGCGUAGGCUGUUUCGUAAGUCGUGUGUGAAAGGCGCGGGCUCAACCCGCGGACGGCACAUGAUACUGGGAGACUAGAGUAAUGGAGGGGGAACCGGAAUUCUCGGUGUAGCAGUGAAAUGCGUAGAUAUCGAGAGGAAUACUCGUGGCGAAGGCGGGUUCCUGGACAUUAACUGACGCUGAGGCACGAAGGCCAGGGGAGCGAAAGGGAUUAGAUACCCGUGUAGUC
Molecule: ribosomal RNA, 446 nt
Filed under: uncultured bacterium
Lineage: Bacteria
Description: partial 16S ribosomal RNA
Rfam family: Bacterial small subunit ribosomal RNA
Source: RNAcentral